CGCUGGCGGCGUGCUUAACACAUGCAAGUCGAACGCGAAAGGGACCUCGGUCCUGAGUAGAGUGGCGCACGGGUGAGUAACGCGUAAGUUAUCUACCCCUCCAUCUGGAAUAACUCACCGAAAGGUGUGCUAAUACCGGAUACGUUGGAAACAGAAAGGUGGCCUCUUCUAUGCUACCGUGGAGGGAUGAGCUUGCGUACCAUUAGCUAGUUGGUAGGGUAAUGGCCUACCAAGGCAACGAUGGUUAGCGGGUCUGAGAGGAUGAUCCGCCACACUGGAACUGGAACACGGACCAGACUCCUACGGGAGGCAGCAGUGAGGAAUAUUGCGCAAUGGGGGAAACCCUGACGCAGCGACGCCGCGUGGAUGAUGAAGGCCUUUGGGUCGUAAAAUCCUGUCAGAUGGAAAGAAAUGUACAUGUGCUAAUAUCACUUGUAUUUGACGGUACCAUCAAAGGAAGCACCGGCUAACUCCGUG
RNAcentral lists this ribosomal RNA (477 nucleotides) under uncultured bacterium. RNAcentral describes it as "bacterial SSU rRNA". It matches the Rfam family "Bacterial small subunit ribosomal RNA", at positions 34 to 507 of the family's 1533-position model. The record is from RNAcentral.